CCUACGGGUGGCAGCAGUAAGGAAUAUUGGUCAAUGGACGCAAGUCUGAACCAGCCAUGCCGCGUGGAGGAUGAAGGCCCUUGGGUUGUAAACUUCUUUUAUUGGGGAAGCGGUACCCAUUGAAUAAGCACCGGCUAACUCCGUGCCAGCAGCCGCGGUAAUACGGAGGGUGCAAGCGUUAUCCGGAUUCACUGGGUUUAAAGGGUGCGUAGGUGGGCAGGUAAGUCAGUGGUGAAAUCUCUAAGCUUAACUUAGAAACUGCCGUUGAUACUAUCUGUCUUGAAUAUAGUGGAGGUGAGCGGAAUAUGUCAUGUAGCGGUGAAAUGCUUAGAUAUGACAUAGAACACCCAUUGCGAAGGCAGCUCGCUACGCUAUAUUGACACUGAUGCACGAAAGCGUGGGGAUCAAACAGGAUUAGAUACCCUUGUAGUC
Molecule: ribosomal RNA, 432 nt
Filed under: uncultured bacterium
Lineage: Bacteria
Description: partial 16S ribosomal RNA
Rfam family: Bacterial small subunit ribosomal RNA
Source: RNAcentral